This 278-nucleotide ribosomal RNA is filed under the name uncultured bacterium. RNAcentral's name for it is "partial 16S ribosomal RNA". It matches the Rfam family "Bacterial small subunit ribosomal RNA", at positions 334 to 629 of the family's 1533-position model. The record is from RNAcentral.
GUGUCCUACGGGAGGCAGCAGUGGGGAAUAUUGCACAAUGGGGGGAACCCUGAUGCAGCAAUGCCGCGUGGGUGAAGAAGCACUCCGGUGCGUAAAGCCCUGUCAGCAGGGAAGAAAAUGACAGUACCUGGACAAGAAGCCCCGGCUAACUACGUGCCAGCAGCCGCGGUAAUACGUAGGGGGCGAGCGUUAUCCGGAUUUACUGGGUGUACAGGGAGCGCAGGCGGCGUGGCAAGUCAGAUGUGAAAACCCGGGGCCCAACCCCGGAGGUGCAUGUG